UUCAUGCCAGCAUCUGUUGUCA
This 22-nucleotide unclassified non-coding RNA is filed under the name Mus musculus (house mouse). RNAcentral describes it as "oocyte_clustered_small_RNA3633". The record is from RNAcentral. Lineage: Eukaryota; Metazoa; Chordata; Mammalia; Rodentia; Muridae.